Molecule: ribosomal RNA, 234 nt
Filed under: uncultured bacterium
Lineage: Bacteria
Description: partial 16S ribosomal RNA
Rfam family: Bacterial small subunit ribosomal RNA
Source: RNAcentral
CGACAGGGCGCGGAACCCGAAAACCUGUCUCAGUUCGGAUUGGAGUCUGCAACCCGACUCCAUGAAGCUGGAUUCGCUAGUAAUCGCGCAUCAGCCACGGCGCGGUGAAUACGUUCCCGGGCCUUGUACACGCCGCCCGUCAAGCCAUGGAAGCCGGGAGUGCCUGAAGUGCGUGACCGCAAGGAGCGUCCUAAGGCAAUACCGGUGACUGGGGCUAAGUCGUAACAAGGUAAC